Molecule: ribosomal RNA, 468 nt
Filed under: uncultured bacterium
Lineage: Bacteria
Description: partial 16S ribosomal RNA
Rfam family: Bacterial small subunit ribosomal RNA
Source: RNAcentral
GACGAACGCUGGCGGCGUGCUUAACACAUGCAAGUCGAACGGAAAGGCCCGGCUUUUGUGGGGUGCUCGAGUGGCGAAAGGGUGAGUAACACGUGAGUAACCUGCCCUUUACUUUGGGAUAACUUCAGUAAACUGGGGCGAAUACCGGGUAUGAGCUCCUGCUGCAUGGGGUUGGUGUUAGAGUUUCGGCGGUGGGGGAUGGACUCGCGGCUUAGCAGCUUGUUGGUGGGGUAGUGGAUUACCAGGGCGUUGACGGGUAGCCGGCCUGAGAGGGUGACCGGCCACAUUGGGACUGAGAUACGGCCAAGACUCCUACGGGAGGCAGCAGUGGGGAAUAUUGCACAAUGGGCGGAAGCCUGAUGCAGCAACGCCGCGUGCGGGAUGACGGCCUUCGGGUUGUAAACCGCUUUAGCCUGUGACGAAGCGUGAGUGACGGUAAUGGGUAAAGAAGCACCGGCUAACUACGUG